UACGAAGGGGGCAAGCGUUGUUCGGAAUCACUGGGCGUAAAGCGUACGUAGGCGGAUAUUUAAGUCAGGGGUGAAAGCCCGAGGCUCAACCUCGGAACUGCCUUUGAUACUGGGUAUCUUGAGUCCGGGAGAGGUGAGUGGAAUGCCGAGUGUAGAGGUGAAAUUCGUAGAUAUUCGGCGGAACACCAGUGGCGAAGGCGGCUCACUGGCCCGGUACUGACGCUGAGGUACGAAAGCGUGGGGAGCAAACAGGAUUAGAUACCCUGGUAGUCCACGCCGUAAACGAUGGAUGCUAGCCGUCGGGGAGCUUGCUCUUCGGUGGCGCAGCUAACGCCUUAAGCAUCCCGCCUGGGGAGUACGGUCGCAAGAUUAAA
RNAcentral lists this ribosomal RNA (374 nucleotides) under uncultured bacterium. RNAcentral's name for it is "bacterial SSU rRNA". It matches the Rfam family "Bacterial small subunit ribosomal RNA", at positions 524 to 898 of the family's 1533-position model. The record is from RNAcentral.